UGGUGGAGUGAUUUGUCUGGUUAAUUCCGUUAACGAACGAGACCGUCGCCUGCUAAAUAGUGACCGGAUUCUCCGGAAUGCGGGAGUACACUUCUUAGAGGGACUUCUUGUGCUUAGCAAGAGGAAGUUGGCGGCAAAAACA
Molecule: ribosomal RNA, 142 nt
Filed under: uncultured eukaryote
Lineage: Eukaryota
Description: partial 18S ribosomal RNA
Rfam family: Eukaryotic small subunit ribosomal RNA
Source: RNAcentral